This 2245-nucleotide ribosomal RNA is filed under the name Shigella flexneri. RNAcentral describes it as "partial 23S ribosomal RNA". It matches the Rfam family "Bacterial large subunit ribosomal RNA", at positions 1 to 2262 of the family's 2925-position model. The record is from RNAcentral. Lineage: Bacteria; Pseudomonadati; Pseudomonadota; Gammaproteobacteria; Enterobacterales; Enterobacteriaceae.
GGGUUGUGAGGUUAAGCGACUAAGCGUACACGGUGGAUGCCCUGGCAGUCAGAGGCGAUGAAGGACGUGCUAAUCUGCGAUAAGCGUCGGUAAGGUGAUAUGAACCGUUAUAACCGGCGAUUUCCGAAUGGGGAAACCCAGUGUGAUUCGUCACACUAUCAUUAACUGAAUCCAUAGGUUAAUGAGGCGAACCGGGGGAACUGAAACAUCUAAGUACCCCGAGGAAAAGAAAUCAACCGAGAUUCCCCCAGUAGCGGCGAGCGAACGGGGAGCAGCCCAGAGCCUGAAUCAGUGUGUGUGUUAGUGGAAGCGUCUGGAAAGGCGUGCGAUACAGGGUGACAGCCCCGUACACAAAAAUGCACAUACUGUGAGCUCGAUGAGUAGGGCGGGACACGUGGUAUCCUGUCUGAAUAUGGGGGGACCAUCCUCCAAGGCUAAAUACUCCUGACUGACCGAUAGUGAACCAGUACCGUGAGGGAAAGGCGAAAAGAACCCCGGCGAGGGGAGUGAAAAAGAACCUGAAACCGUGUACGUACAAGCAGUGGGAGCACGCUUAGGCGUGUGACUGCGUACCUUUUGUAUAAUGGGUCAGCGACUUAUAUUCUGUAGCAAGGUUAACCGAAUAGGGGAGCCGAAGGGAAACCGAGUCUUAACUGGGCGUUAAGUUGCAGGGUAUAGACCCGAAACCCGGUGAUCUAGCCAUGGGCAGGUUGAAGGUUGGGUAACACUAACUGGAGGACCGAACCGACUAAUGUUGAAAAAUUAGCGGAUGACUUGUGGCUGGGGGUGAAAGGCCAAUCAAACCGGGAGAUAGCUGGUUCUCCCCGAAAGCUAUUUAGGUAGCGCCUCGUGAAUUCAUCUCCGGGGGUAGAGCACUGUUUCGGCAAGGGGGUCAUCCCGACUUACCAACCCGAUGCAAACUGCGAAUACCGGAGAAUGUUAUCACGGGAGACACACGGCGGGUGCUAACGUCCGUCGUGAAGAGGGAAACAACCCAGACCGCCAGCUAAGGUCCCAAAGUCAUGGUUAAGUGGGAAACGAUGUGGGAAGGCCCAGACAGCCAGGAUGUUGGCUUAGAAGCAGCCAUCAUUUAAAGAAAGCGUAAUAGCUCACUGGUCGAGUCGGCCUGCGCGGAAGAUGUAACGGGGCUAAACCAUGCACCGAAGCUGCGGCAGCGACGCUUAUGCGUUGUUGGGUAGGGGAGCGUUCUGUAAGCCUGUGAAGGUGUACUGUGAGGUAUGCUGGAGGUAUCAGAAGUGCGAAUGCUGACAUAAGUAACGAUAAAGCGGGUGAAAAGCCCGCUCGCCGGAAGACCAAGGGUUCCUGUCCAACGUUAAUCGGGGCAGGGUGAGUCGACCCCUAAGGCGAGGCCGAAAGGCGUAGUCGAUGGGAAACAGGUUAAUAUUCCUGUACUUGGUGUUACUGCGAAGGGGGGACGGAGAAGGCUAUGUUGGCCGGGCGACGGUUGUCCCGGUUUAAGCGUGUAGGCUGGUUUUCCAGGCAAAUCCGGAAAAUCAAGGCCGAGGCGUGAUGACGAGGCACUACGGUGCUGAAGCAACAAAUGCCCUGCUUCCAGGAAAAGCCUCUAAGCAUCAGGUAACAUCAAAUCGUACCCCAAACCGACACAGGUGGUCAGGUAGAGAAUACCAAGGCGCUUGAGAGAACUCGGGUGAAGGAACUAGGCAAAAUGGUGCCGUAACUUCGGGAGAAGGCACGCUGAUACGUAGGUGAAGCGACUUGCUCGUGGAGCUGAAAUCAGUCGAAGAUACCAGCUGGCUGCAACUGUUUAUUAAAAACACAGCACUGUGCAAACACGAAAGUGGACGUAUACGGUGUGACGCCUGCCCGGUGCCGGAAGGUUAAUUGAUGGGGUUAGCGCAAGCGAAGCUCUUGAUCGAAGCCCCGGUAAACGGCGGCCGUAACUAUAACGGUCCUAAGGUAGCGAAAUUCCUUGUCGGGUAAGUUCCGACCUGCACGAAUGGCGUAAUGAUGGCCAGGCUGUCUCCACCCGAGACUCAGUGAAAUUGAACUCGCUGUGAAGAUGCAGUGUACCCGCGGCAAGACGGAAAGACCCCGUGAACCUUUACUAUAGCUUGACACUGAACAUUGAGCCUUGAUGUGUAGGAUAGGUGGGAGGCUUUGAAGUGUGGACGCCAGUCUGCAUGGAGCCGACCUUGAAAUACCACCCUUUAAUGUUUGAUGUUCUAACGUGGACCCGUAAUCCGGGUUGCGGACAGUGUCUGGU